Molecule: ribosomal RNA, 1338 nt
Filed under: uncultured bacterium
Lineage: Bacteria
Description: bacterial SSU rRNA
Rfam family: Bacterial small subunit ribosomal RNA
Source: RNAcentral
AGGAUGAACGCUGGCGGCGUGCUUAACACAUGCACGUCGAACGAAGCACUUAAGACGGAUUACUUCGGUUUGAAGUCUUAUUUGACUGAGUGGCGGACGGGUGAGUAACGCGUGGGUAACCUGCCUCAUACAGGGGGAUAACAGUUAGAAAUGACUGCUAAUACCGCAUAAGCGCACGGUCUCGCAUGGGACGGUGUGAAAAACUCCGGUGGUAUGAGAUGGACCCGCGUCUGAUUAGCUGGUUGGUGAGGUAAGGGCUCACCAAGGCGACGAUCAGUAGCCGGCCUGAGAGGGUGAACGGCCACAUUGGGACUGAGACACGGCCCAAACUCCUACGGGAGGCAGCAGUGGGGAAUAUUGCACAAUGGGGGAAGCCCUGAUGCAGCGACGCCGCGUGAAGGAAGAAGUAUUUCGGUAUGUAAACUUCUAUCAGCAGGGAAGAAAAUGACGGUACCUGACUAAGAAGCCCCGGCUAACUACGUGCCAGCAGCCGCGGUAAUACGUAGGGGGCAAGCGUUAUCCGGAUUUACUGGGUGUAAAGGGAGCGUAGGCGGUUCAGCAAGUCAGAAGUGAAAGCCCGGGGCUCAACUCCGGGACUGCUUUUGAAACUGUUGAACUAGAUUGCAGGAGAGGUAAGUGGAAUUCCUAGUGUAGCGGUGAAAUGCGUAGAUAUUAGGAAGAACACCGGUGGCGAAGGCGACUUUCUGGACUGUAACUGACGUUGAGGCACGAAAGUGUGGGGAGCAAACAGGAUUAGAUACCCUGGUAGUCCACACUGUAAACGAUGGAUACUAGGUGUAGGUGGUAUUAAGCCAUCUGUGCCGUCGCUAACGCAGUAAGUAUCCCACCUGGGGAGUACGACCGCAAGGUUGAAACUCAAAGGAAUUGACGGGGGCCCGCACAAGCAGUGGAGUAUGUGGUUUAAUUCGAAGCAACGCGAAGAACCUUACCAGGGCUUGACAUACAGAUGAAUAACUAAGAGAUUAGUUAGUAUUUCGGUACAUCUGUACAGGUGGUGCAUGGUUGUCGUCAGCUCGUGUCGUGAGAUGUUAGGUUAAGUCCUGCAACGAGCGCAACCCCUAUACUUAGUUGCCAGCACGUAAAGGUGGGAACUCUAAGUAGACUGCCGGUGAUAAAUCGGAGGAAGGUGGGGACGACGUCAAAUCAUCAUGCCCUUUAUGUCCUGGGCUACACACGUACUACAAUGGCUAUAACAAAGAGAAGCGAGACGGAGACGUUAAGCGAAACCCAAAAAAGUAGUCUCAGUUCGGAUUGAAGGCUGAAAUUCGCCUUCAUGAAGCCGGAAGGGCUAGUAAUGGCAGGUCAGCAUACUGCCGU